GGUUUUGUAAAUGUGUGUUAAAUGCCACGCCAUCUUGAGGGGGUGGUGAGCUACGCUCGUGAGGGUUCAAGUCCCUCCAACCGCACCA
RNAcentral lists this transfer RNA (88 nucleotides) under Caudovirales sp. ctikv1. RNAcentral's name for it is "tRNA-Leu". The record is from RNAcentral. Lineage: Duplodnaviria; Heunggongvirae; Uroviricota; Caudoviricetes.